UAUAGGUACAGCAGGCAAAUUCUCCUAAUGCCUGGCCCUCAGGGAAGCCUACAGAGAGAGGCAAUUUGGAAAACCCUGUUUUGGAACAGAGCAGCUCCUUAAUAGCUCCCCGUGGAAGAGGGAUUCCUGCUGCAAAUGACAUGACAUCACAGGCACACAGCUCAGGUUGGAGCCAGGACAGCCAUUCCUUCCUUCUUGAGGCUCUCGGACCUAGGCGAUCCCUGGCCUGCACCACUAGGCUGACUUAAUCUCCUUGGUUUUCCUGGUUUCUGGAAGAAAAUGUGGCAGACAUUAUCAUUGGCAAGUUCCUGCCAUGCAGCAUCAGUAAAAUUUGUUUCUUCCCUUUUUUUUUUAUCCUUUUAUAAAUUUAACCUCUUGCCAACAGAUUUCGAUCACCAUGUACUUAGCAUUACCUGUAUGAAGGCCGAAGCAAUAUGAAGACAAGAAUUUGUUUUCUUCUCUAUUUGAUUUUUAAAUUAUAGAAGACUCUAAUGCUGUCAACUGGCAAAUGUUUAGAGUUUAAGGUAAACAUCAUUCCAACUUUUAUAAUGUUUAGAUUUUAAGGUAAACAUCACUCCAACAGAAAACUAGUUUUGAAGAUGAACUUUUUUUAAAACCUAUUUUAUAAAGAAUUCUCCUGAACACAUAUUUUCAAAUUUGAAAAAGAAAACAAGGGGUUCGUAGUUCAAUGCAGCUCUGAAUAUUUAGGAUUUCUUCCAUUAACUGUUCUGCUUUGUGUCACUGCUGCAUGAGGUGCUCCAAAAGACUGAACUGAGGACACCAGCCCUCUGAAAGGAAUAGCUAUGUGUUCAGGGAGGGAGGAAGUGCUAGCUGCUGGCUUGGGACUUCCCAGGUCACUAAUUUUGAAACCCUCCAAACACUGACCUAAAGAUCAAAUUCUUGUCCUCAAUAGCAAGGAUCAAAAUGUUGGAAGGCUGUAUUCUGUUUCCUCAUCUAGCACCAGGACUCUGUUGGGAGAGUUGCAAUUAAAUGGACUCUAAGUCCA
Molecule: long non-coding RNA, 1006 nt
Organism: Canis lupus familiaris (dog)
Lineage: Eukaryota; Metazoa; Chordata; Mammalia; Carnivora; Canidae
Exons: 2
Source: RefSeq, a predicted model, not a curated record